RNAcentral lists this transfer RNA (74 nucleotides) under Arcanobacterium phocae. Its description in RNAcentral is "tRNA_Gln_TTG". It matches the Rfam family "tRNA". Rfam says of the family: Transfer RNA (tRNA) molecules are approximately 80 nucleotides in length. Their secondary structure includes four short double-helical elements and three loops (D, anti-codon, and T loops). The record is from RNAcentral. Lineage: Bacteria; Bacillati; Actinomycetota; Actinomycetes; Actinomycetales; Actinomycetaceae.
UCCGCCAUGGUGUAAUGGCAGCACAGCGGUCUUUGGAACCGCUUGUCUAGGUUCGAAUCCUAGUGGCGGAGCGA